UACAGAGGUCCCAAGCGUUGUUCGGAUUCAUUGGGCGUAAAGGGUGCGUAGGUGGUGAUGCAAGUCUGGUGUGAAAUCUCGGAGCUCAACUCCGAAAUUGCACCGGAUACUGCGUGACUCGAGGACUGUAGAGGAGAUCGGAAUUCACGGUGUAGCAGUGAAAUGCGUAGAUAUCGUGAGGAAGACCAGUUGCGAAGGCGGAUCUCUGGGCAGUUCCUGACACUGAGGCACGAAGGCCAGGGGAGCAAACGGG
This 253-nucleotide ribosomal RNA is filed under the name uncultured bacterium. RNAcentral's name for it is "partial 16S ribosomal RNA". It matches the Rfam family "Bacterial small subunit ribosomal RNA", at positions 524 to 776 of the family's 1533-position model. The record is from RNAcentral.